UGUAACCAGAGUGANUCANUGGUNUAUNGUGGAAUUGUCCUCGGNGGCAAGUUAGAGNUAUCAGAGGUGGGUAGAUUCGACUCGUAGCAGUGAAGUGGGUAGAGAUGUGGAGGAAUACUGAUGGGGAAGGCAGUCCCGUGGGAUGUGCCUGAUGUUCUUCCUGGAAAGCAGUGGGGAGCAAACAGGAUUAGAUACCCUGGUAGUCCUCCCCCUAAUCGAUGUCAAUUAGUUGUUGGGGAUUCAUUUUCUCAGUACCUUAGCUACCGUGUGAAGUUGCCCGCCUGGGGAGUACGGUCGCAAGAUUAAAGCUCAAAGGAAUUGCGGGGACCCGCACAAGCGGUGGAUGAUGUGGAUUAGUUCGAUGCAACGCGAAAACCCUUCCCUGCCCUUGACAUGCCACUAACGAAGCAGAGAUGCAUUAGGUGCCCGAAAGGGAAAGUGGACACAGGUGCUGCAUGGCUGUGCUCAGCUCGUGUCGUGAGAUGUUGGGUUAAGUCCCGCACCGAGCGCACCCCUUGUCUCUAGUUGGUUCGCAAGAGCCCUCUAGAGAGACUGCCGGUGACAACCCGGAGGAAGGUGGGGAUGACGUCAAUUCCUCAUGCCCCUUAUGGGUAGGUCUUCUCACGUCAUCCAAUGGUGCGUACAGAGGGUUGCCAACCCGCGAGGGGGAGCUAAUCCCAGAAAACGCAUCGUAGUCCGGAUCGUAGUCUGCAACUCGACUACGUGAAGCUGGAAUCGUUAGUAAUCGCGGAUNAGCAUGCCGCGGUGAAUACGUUCCCGGGUCUUGUACACCCCGCCCGUCACACCAUGGGAGUG
RNAcentral lists this ribosomal RNA (816 nucleotides) under Cupriavidus metallidurans. Its description in RNAcentral is "bacterial SSU rRNA". It matches the Rfam family "Bacterial small subunit ribosomal RNA", at positions 581 to 1412 of the family's 1533-position model. Lineage: Bacteria; Pseudomonadati; Pseudomonadota; Betaproteobacteria; Burkholderiales; Burkholderiaceae. The record is from RNAcentral.